RNAcentral lists this ribosomal RNA (712 nucleotides) under uncultured crenarchaeote TREC16-12. Its description in RNAcentral is "bacterial SSU rRNA". It matches the Rfam family "Archaeal small subunit ribosomal RNA", at positions 121 to 836 of the family's 1478-position model. Lineage: Archaea; Thermoproteati; Thermoproteota. The record is from RNAcentral.
CGUGGAUAACCUCGGGAAACUGAGGAUAAACCGCGAUAGGUCAUCACUUCUGGAAUGGGUAAUGACUUAAACCUAUAUGGCCCCUGGAUUGGACUGCGGCCGAUCAGGCUGUUGGUGAGGUAAUGGCCCACCAAACCUGUAACCGGUACGGGCUCUGAGAGGAGGAGCCCGGAGAUGGGCACUGAGACAAGGGCCCAGGCCCUAUGGGGCGCAGCAGGCGCGAAACCUCUGCAAUAGGCGAAAGCUUGACAGGGUUACUCUGAGUGAUCUCCGUUAAGGAGAUCUUUUGGCACCUCUAAAAAUGGUGCAGAAUAAGGGGUGGGCAAGUCUGGUGUCAGCCGCCGCGGUAAUACCAGCACCCCGAGUGGUCGGGACGUUUAUUGGGCCUAAAGCAUCCGUAGCCGGUUCUACAAGUCUUCCGUUAAAUCCACCUGCUUAACAGAUGGGCUGCGGAAGAUACUAUAGAGCUAGGAGGCGGGAGAGGCAAGCGGUACUCGAUGGGUAGGGGUAAAAUCCGUUGAUCCAUUGAAGACCACCAGUGGCGAAGGCGGCUUGCCAGAACGCGCUCGACGGUGAGGGAUGAAAGCUGGGGGAGCAAACCGGAUUAGAUACCCGGGUAGUCCCAGCUGUAAACGAUGCAGACUCGGUGAUGAAUUGGCUUAUUGCUAAUUCAGUGCCGCAGGGAAGCCGUUAAGUUUGCCGCCUGGGGAGU